AUUUAUUUAGUAUAAAAGUACUAUUAACUUCCAAUUAAAAAGUCUGCAAAGCAGAAUAAAUA
RNAcentral lists this transfer RNA (62 nucleotides) under Pulchriphyllium giganteum. Its description in RNAcentral is "tRNA-Gly". Lineage: Eukaryota; Metazoa; Arthropoda; Insecta; Phasmatodea; Phylliidae. The record is from RNAcentral.